CUGUACGAACUCCUCAUGCAUAGGCGAGGACGGGUGAAACAAACCACGCAAACAGGAUCGAGUCAAAAAGGCACAGCUGUACGCCUCUUUACUCUCCUUUUCUCCCCCCAUUCGUGUUGUUACAGCUACAAAAGACUCUGCUUCAUACACCUCCGGUGAGUGUGACCAGCUGUCGGGGGCAUACUCUGUCAGAGAGAGAUUCAAAUUAUCCGUCGUUGUCUGCCUUUCUUGCGCCUUGGACAUUGUGUUCCUUUUUCUCAGUCAUAUCCUUACCAGUCAUAAUAGAACACCAUGAUCACCAAGGCCGAAGCUUCCAAGUGGAGGCUGAGCGACUUGGAGAUGCGUGAGACGGUCGGCACCGGCACUUUCGGCCGAGUACGCUUGGUGAAGCACAAAGGAACAGGCCAGUACGCGGCCCUCAAGAUCCUCAAGAAGCAGGAGAUUCUCCGAAUGAAGCAGGUCGACCACGUGAUGGCGGAGGCAAGUCUUCUCCAGGAGAUCGACCACCCUUUUAUUGUGAGCAUGCUGCGGGGAUACAUGGACAAGAACCGGCUGUACAUACUCCUCGAGUACGUGGUAGGCGGCGAGCUGUUCUCGCAUCUCCGCAAGGCCGGCAAGUUCCCUAAUGAUGUCUCGAAGUUCUACUGCGCCGAGGUGAUCCUAGCAUUUGACUACCUGCACAACAAGACGAUCGUUUACCGCGAUCUGAAGCCGGAGAACAUUCUCCUCGACCAAGACGGUAACAUAAAGAUCACGGAUUUCGGAUUCGCGAAGCGCGUGACGGAGCGUACGUUUACGCUUUGUGGCACACCUGAGUACCUAGCCCCCGAGAUCAUUCAGAGCAAGGGGCACAACAAGGCUGUCGACUGGUGGGCGCUCGGCAUCCUGCUGUACGAAAUGCUGGUUGGCUACCCGCCGUUCUUCGACGACAGCCCGAUGAAGAUCUACGAGAAGAUCCUUGUGGGCAAGGUGCUCUUCCCGCGAUGGGUAGACUCGAAGGCCCGAGACUUCAUCAAGGGCCUUCUAUCCCUCGAUCCCACGAAGCGCCUUGGCAGUUUGCCCAACGGCACGGAGGACAUCAAGAACCACAAGUACUUUGCGGAAGUGGACUGGAAUGUAGUGCUGUCCAAGAAGAUUCCCGCGCCGAUCCCGGUACGGCAACACAAGGAGGGCGAUACCCACUACUUCGACAAGUACCCCGACAGCCCACUCAACUCUUUGCGCACUUUGACUCCAGCACAGCAGGACUGCUUCGCAAACUUCUGCAACGGCCAGUAUACGGACGAGUAGUAUCCCAUUUCUGCCUCCAAGGUUUUGAAGUGCGGAGGGCGGGGAGCGACGAGCACGUGUAGACCUUUCUCACACGCUUAGUUGUGUUUCCCGCCUCCUGCGCCAGCGGCGUUCGUGUUGCGGUCGCGCACACGAACGCCGCUAAGCAUCUCUCCUAAGCUUUCGGGGAAGUCGCUUUGCCUGCAGGUUCCUUUGCAACCGCCGUCGCUCUAUUUUCAUGUUCAGACUGUUUAUUUUUUCUUUGUUUUGUGCCCUUUCCACCUCGAAGUGUUUUUGGCACACGCGGAGUGGGGAGGGUGUAGUGCGUGCGGGUCGCACGGCGAUUUCUCGCCUUCACGAUGUAUGCAUAGGCGUUUCAGAACUCUUAAGUGUAAUUUUGACGAACGCGCAAGCGCAAUGUAUUAUAAAAGACACGCACACACACACAGGGGUUAUUGUGGAUUGUGAUCUCGAAGGGUUGGCGUUGGUGUCGAUGGUGUUUCUAGCUUCUUUUUUUCCGCCUUUCUUUCGGAGUCGGCUCUGAUUCCUUUUAGACAGUCGAAUAGGCGGAUUGCUGCGUUCUCAAUGAUCAAUGUACGCGCAAAGUGCAGCCAGUAGAGGGUUCGAUGCCAUGACUUUCGUCCGCUGAUCUUUACAGUCUCUCUUUUUGUUUCUCCGGCGACCUUCCCCCCUUUCGCGUGUGCCCCCUUUUUCACUUUCUUUUGAUGAGAAGGAGCUUUCCUCUGAGCCCUCUUUCACCUUUUUUGUUCCCCUCCGCUGCCGCUGGAUGAAAGGUCUGCGCGUGUGUUCGUGAUGGCAAGAGGAAAGGAGCACAGGAUGCGGAAAAGGGCAGAGUUGGAUGUGACAGGCAAUGAAAAGACCUGGGAGGCCGCCACCGCAGAUUUUGUUCACGACGAUGUAGCUGUAGCCGCGUUGAUGGAUAUCUUGUAGAGCGGCGAUAUAAGUCAAACGCUGGGGGGGGGGGCUGAUGGGGCUGCCUCUCCCUCUCCUCCUUUGCUCCUUGCUUCUCCUGGUUUUAUCCCUCCUGGAAUCGACUUGGAAUUUACACACAUCAACAUACUCAUGUGGUUUUAGGUGCUGCCCUUUUCCCGCGUCCUCUCUCCUCCACAAAUGAUUAUAAAAAGUAAGGUGUGCCUCUUGUCAUCAGAAAACAAACGGGAAAAAGGAAAUCCACAUCAACGCACAUUCUCGAGACUGUGCGGGAGUGCGCUUAUGUGUGCCGUGCGUAGAAAAGGUAUUGUACCCGCUGCCUUGUAUAGCUUUCGGUAAAUAUGUACAUUAUUCGUGUGUUGCCUUGGCUCUUCUUCUACCCUCCUGUGUCUUUAUUUGUUUCGCUCUCUCUUCCUCUUUCUACGGACGUUAAAACGGCCAUUUUUUUUUUGCUCUGUCCCUCUUUUUCGACUCCUUUUUCUCAUAUUUGCUCAGGUUGCUAUCUCCUCUGAUCCGAAGCUCUCUUUCUCCUUCCGCUUUCCUCGCGUUGCUUCCCCCACCCGCUGUCCUCUCCGUCCCCCCUUUUAGCUGAUUUAACGGUGAUGUCUGGAUGUCCCCCUCUUUUUGCGCAUGUUUGCCGAUUCCAUCAUGUCUUUCAGCUCUAUGUGUUGCUCCCCAUUUCUUUUUUUUUGCGGUUCACCCACCGUUUAUACAUCAGUGAGAAGAGUACAUAUGAUGUUGAGAGAUGGCGAUUAGCUCCCUUCCUGCUCUUUUUCUGUCUUCCCAGGAUGCAAAGCGAACCGAAAGGAGAGCGUGAAAAGGGGGAAAACUCAAAGCGCCACCCCCCGAAGAAAAGAAAACGAGCCAUGCUGAAGCGCCUUGACUCAUACAAGAAAGGAUAGUGGAGGAGGGGAAAACGCGGAGCUGACAUUGUAAAACAAAACGGUUCGCACCUGAUAAGGAAAGGCAAGAAAAGCAGAGAACAAAAGGUGGUCGCAUAUAGGCAAGCAAGGAGGAAGUGAGUUGACAAGAGACAAAGCAAGGGAAAUCUGCCGGUGUUUUUACAUGCGAAGCAGGCCACCGAUCGGUAGACAUUCUCCCAUCUCCCCUCUUCUUUUUUCAUGUAGUACCUGUGACGAUUACGUGUGGAAUACUUCAGAGGAGACCGAACACAGAACAGACGAGGAAAAAAAAGGAAGCAGCGAGGGGGGCUCAUCUUAGUGAUAGAUGUGCAAAGCAUUAGGCGUGAAAUGAAUGUGUACUGUGGGGCGUGUGCUUUCCCACAAUGCCCCCUUCUUCGAUUGCUUCAUCUUUGGCGCAAAGAGACGCCGCUUUCGAAAUAAGAAUGUUGUGAUGUUCCUGUUUCCUUUCGUGCUUUUGAACGUUUUUUUUUUCGCUUUCCUUUUUCGUAGGGGUAACAGACCACAUUCUUACAUCCCCUCAUACACACAGCUACACCCACGUUAAUAGCCCGAGUGCGCCGUUUCGUUUUACAUUCUAUGUGCGAUCAUUGAAAGCUACCUCUCUCAGACAAUC
RNAcentral lists this unclassified non-coding RNA (3756 nucleotides) under Leishmania donovani. RNAcentral's name for it is "gene:LdHU3.18.1390(CDS-product:protein_kinase_A_c atalytic_subunit)". Lineage: Eukaryota; Euglenozoa; Kinetoplastea; Trypanosomatida; Trypanosomatidae. The record is from RNAcentral.